GCCGCGGUGGCGGAAUUGGUAGACGCACAGGACUCAAAAUCCUGCGAUGGCAACAUCAUGAGAGUUCGAUUCUCUCCCGCGGCA
Molecule: transfer RNA, 84 nt
Filed under: bacterium
Lineage: Bacteria
Description: tRNA-Leu
Rfam family: tRNA
About the family: Transfer RNA (tRNA) molecules are approximately 80 nucleotides in length. Their secondary structure includes four short double-helical elements and three loops (D, anti-codon, and T loops).
Source: RNAcentral